UCUUCGGCAAUGGGCGCAAGCCUGACCGAGCGACGCCGCGUGGAGGACGAAGGCCUUCGGGUUGUAAACUCCUGUCGAGGGGGAGGAAGGGGAAACCUUGACCGAUCCCUGGAGGAAGCGCGGGCUAAGUUCGUGCCAGCAGCCGCGGUAAGACGAACCGCGCGAACGUUAUUCGGAAUCACUGGGCUUAAAGCGCGUGUAGGCGGAUCGGAGCGUCGGCACCUGAAAGCCCCCGGCUCAACCGGGGAAGCGGGUCCGAAACGACCGGUCUCGAGGGAUGGAGGGGGACCUGGAACUUCCGGUGGAGCGGUGAAAUGCGUUGAGAUCGGAAGGAACGCCGGCGGCGAAAGCGAGGUCCUGGACGUCCACUGACGCUGAGACGCGAAAGCUGGGGGAGCGAACGGG
This 405-nucleotide ribosomal RNA is filed under the name uncultured bacterium. RNAcentral's name for it is "bacterial SSU rRNA". It matches the Rfam family "Bacterial small subunit ribosomal RNA", at positions 362 to 776 of the family's 1533-position model. The record is from RNAcentral.